UUUCCGUAGGUGAACCUGCGGAAGGAUCAUUAAUGAAAUACAUGGACGCUCUCUUUAGAGGUCCACCACUUCAUUUCUCACACUGUGCACAAACUACUUUACACCCAUUUUAACACGUUAGUAUAAGAAUGUCAUCAAUCUCUUAAUUGAGCAUAAAAAGUUAAAACUUUCGGCAACGGAUCUCUUGGCUCCCGCAUCGAUGAAGAACGCAGC
RNAcentral lists this unclassified non-coding RNA (213 nucleotides) under uncultured fungus. RNAcentral's name for it is "sequence contains ITS1, 5.8S rRNA gene". The stretch from base 165 to 213 matches the Rfam family "5.8S ribosomal RNA", at positions 1 to 49 of the family's 154-position model. The record is from RNAcentral. Lineage: Eukaryota; Fungi.